Molecule: ribosomal RNA, 316 nt
Filed under: Staphylococcus epidermidis NIHLM088
Lineage: Bacteria; Bacillati; Bacillota; Bacilli; Caryophanales; Staphylococcaceae
Description: bacterial LSU rRNA
Rfam family: Bacterial large subunit ribosomal RNA
Source: RNAcentral
GGGUUCAGAACGUCGUGAGACAGUUCGGUCCCUAUCCGUCGUGGGCGUAGGAAAUUUGAGAGGAGCUGUCCUUAGUACGAGAGGACCGGGAUGGACAUACCUCUGGUGUACCAGUUGUCGUGCCAACGGCAUAGCUGGGUAGCUAUGUAUGGACGGGAUAAGUGCUGAAAGCAUCUAAGCAUGAAGCCCCCCUCAAGAUGAGAUUUCCCAACUUCGGUUAUAAGAUCCCUCGAAGAUGACGAGGUUAAUAGGUUCGAGGUGGAAGCGUGGUGACACGUGGAGCUGACGAAUACUAAUCGAUCGAAGACUUAAUCAA